RNAcentral lists this ribosomal RNA (1346 nucleotides) under uncultured bacterium. RNAcentral describes it as "partial 16S ribosomal RNA". It matches the Rfam family "Bacterial small subunit ribosomal RNA", at positions 28 to 1381 of the family's 1533-position model. The record is from RNAcentral.
GACGAACGCUGGCGGCGUGCUUAACACAUGCAAGUCGAACGGAAAGGCCCUGCUUUUGUGGGGUGCUCGAGUGGCGAACGGGUGAGUAACACGUGAGUAACCUGCCCUUGACUUUGGGAUAACUUCAGGAAACUGGGGCUAAUACCGGAUAGGAGCUCCUGCUGCAUGGUGGGGGUUGGAAAGUUUCGGCGGUUGGGGAUGGACUCGCGGCUUAUCAGCUUGUUGGUGGGGUAGUGGCUUACCAAGGCUUUGACGGGUAGCCGGCCUGAGAGGGUGACCGGCCACAUUGGGACUGAGAUACGGCCCAGACUCCUACGGGAGGCAGCAGUGGGGAAUAUUGCACAAUGGGCGGAAGCCUGAUGCAGCAACGCCGCGUGCGGGGUGACGGCCUUCGGGUUGUAAACCGCUUUCGCCUGUGACGAAGCGUGAGUGACGGUAAUGGGUAAAGAAGCACCGGCUAACUACGUGCCAGCAGCCGCGGUGAUACGUAGGGUGCGAGCGUUGUCCGGAUUUAUUGGGCGUAAAGGGCUCGUAGGUGGUUGAUCGCGUCGGAAGUGUAAUCUUGGGGCUUAACCCUGAGCGUGCUUUCGAUACGGGUUGACUUGAGGAAGGUAGGGGAGAAUGGAAUUCCUGGUGGAGCGGUGGAAUGCGCAGAUAUCAGAGGAACACCCAGUGGCGAAGGCGGUUCUCUGGGCCUUUCCUGACGCUGAGGAGCGAAAGCGUGGGGAGCGAACAGGCUUAGAUACCCUGGUAGUCCACGCUGUAAACGGUGGGUACUAGGUGUGGGGUCCAUUCCACGGGUUCCGUGCCGUAGCUAACGCUUUAAGUACCCCGCCUGGGGAGUACGGCCGCAAGGCUAAAACUCAAAGGAAUUGACGGGGCCCCGCACAAGCGGCGGAGCAUGCGGAUUAAUUCGAUGCAACGCGUAGAACCUUACCUGGGUUUGACAUGGAUCGGGAGUGCUCAGAGAUGGGUGUGCCUCUUUUGGGGUCGGUUCACAGGUGGUGCAUGGCUGUCGUCAGCUCGUGUCGUGAGAUGUUGGGUUAAGUCCCGCAACGAGCGCAACCCUUGUUCACUGUUGCCAGCACGUUAUGGUGGGGACUCAGUGGAGACCGCCGGGGUCAACUCGGAGGAAGGUGGGGAUGACGUCAAGUCAUCAUGCCCCUUAUGUCCAGGGCUUCACGCAUGCUACAAUGGCUGGUACAGAGAGUGGCGAGCCUGUGAGGGUGAGCGAAUCUCGGAAAGCCGGUCUCAGUUCGGAUUGGGGUCUGCAACUCGACCUCAUGAAGUCGGAGUCGCUAGUAAUCGCAGAUCAGCAACGCUGCGGUGAAUACGUUCCCGGGGCU